This 301-nucleotide ribosomal RNA is filed under the name uncultured bacterium. RNAcentral describes it as "partial 16S ribosomal RNA". It matches the Rfam family "Bacterial small subunit ribosomal RNA", at positions 509 to 807 of the family's 1533-position model. The record is from RNAcentral.
CAGCCGCCACGGUAAUACAGAGGGUGCGAGCGUUAAUCGGAUUUACUGGGCGUAAAGCGUGCGUAGGCGGCUUCUUAAGUCGGAUGUGAAAUCCCUGAGCUUAACUUAGGAAUUGCAUUCGAUACUGGGAAGCUAGAGUAUGGGAGAGGAUGGUAGAAUUCCAGGUGUAGCGGUAAAAUGCGUAGAGAUCUGGAGGAAUACCGAUGGCGAAGGCAGCCAUCUGGCCUAAUACUGACGCUGAGGUACGAAAGCAUGGGGAGCAAACAGGAUUAGAUACCCCAGUAGUCCCUGUCUCUUAUAC